GGCUGGGCGAUAUAUCACAUGUGAUUGUCACGUGCAUUUCGUCAGUAAAGCCGGUUCCCUGAUUACCGCUAAAUUGCCAUCACCUGCUUUCAAAUGGAGCGGCAUUUAAUAGACAGAGCCGUAGUUCACUGACAAGCUACGCAAUACCGCGUUCAUUAUCGCAGAUGAAUCGCCUUUGAUAAUGAACGUGAUAUUGCGUAGCUUGUCAGUGAACUACGGCUCCGUCUAUUAAAUGCCGCUCCAUUUGAAAGCAGGUGAUGGCAAUUUAGCGGUAAUCAGGGAACCGGCUUUACUGACGAAAUGCGCGUGACAAUCGCAUGUGAUAUAUCGACCAGCCCUAGUUCUCUGGUAUUUUUAAUAUACUGUUUUGCAUCAAAACCAGUAUGCUUUAAGCCUUCAGCACUUUCAGGUCCCCUUACGAUCAUUCUGUUCUCCAUCUUAUGACAUUUAACCAUGGCAACAAUUCAAGAACUAGAACCUUUAUGAAGAAUGGAAGGAUACUUCAUUUCAGAAGAUGCUUUGCACCAAAAGAUCUGUGAAACACAAAAAACAAUUUGCUGCCAUCGCACCAGAUACUGUACUUGUGGGAGUCAAAUAAAACCUUCAAAUUUGUCUCUUAAUAUCAAUCCACAACCUCAGCAUUCAGUGGAAAUGUACUGCAUACAACUUGAGUCACUGUUGUCUUUUACAGAAUUGGAUGAGGACUUCUUUAAAUGAGGCUUGAGAGAGGUCAUAACAUGGCAAUGCUCUACGAGCCUUGCAUCUCCGGCCAGACCUUGUGAGACAGGACCAUGCUCAACUUGGCCGUAACAAUGGGCCUGUGUGACCGUUUGAAUGUGCUAUUCUCUGAGUGGUGUGGUUCAUUUGGAUCAGACAAUGGCUUCACUUUGCAUCAUUUAUUUCCAGAGGCCCUGCAUGUCACCAUGCCACUCCUGUUUACUGCGUUCUGGACCAACUGUGCUGCAUCUACACACCUUUAGCAGUUUAGAAUCCAAGGACUUUGGGGAGCAGCCUCUUGCUUUCUGCCCAAUGACAAGUGAUGACCUAUUUUCCAGUCUCCAAACAGCACUGCUCUCAGCAGAAAAGAGGAAAGUCACUGCUAACACUGUGUCCAGAAUGAUGCAAUGGACUGCAUCGAUAACACAAUGAAUUCUGUUUUUUCCUAUGCAGUUUAGAGGUUUUGUUUUAACCAGCCACAUUGAGCUGCAGGACAUUUUGUUUAUACCUAGGCUCAUACUGUAUUUCUGCAGCGUCUCACUGCGUAGCCCCGCCCACAGUGGAAUCUCAUUGGUCCACAUAACAUAAAAUCCUGCUCCACAUAACUGUAUGUCAAACAUUAAAUAUGUCCUGACUCCUGACUGACUAUGAUUGCAUCACAUGAGAUUUUACUUUCAGUGUGGCAGACUGUGAAUGUUUAAGACAUGGUGUUGUACAAUCGUGUUGUAUUUGUUAGACUAACAUCGUAAUGAGGUCAUUAUGAAAUUAAAUAAAAUUGAAAUGGUCAUCA
Molecule: long non-coding RNA, 1507 nt
Organism: Cyprinus carpio (common carp)
Lineage: Eukaryota; Metazoa; Chordata; Actinopteri; Cypriniformes; Cyprinidae
Source: Ensembl